This 1057-nucleotide long non-coding RNA is filed under the name Homo sapiens (human). Its description in RNAcentral is "HSALNT0232202". Lineage: Eukaryota; Metazoa; Chordata; Mammalia; Primates; Hominidae. The record is from RNAcentral.
GAGAGGGGCUUCUGGCCAAGUUAAGUCAGAGGCACACUCUCUUACAGACUAAGAGUUUUUAAAGAUUUAGGGUGCGAGAGUUUAUCAGAGACUUGGACUGCUUCUGUGUCUCUUUGUUGUGUUUACCUGGGAGGGAGAGUUGUGUGUCUGUUCCCAUACGUCUUCCUGCAGCUGCAGGCACACCUGCAAAUCCACUUUUAUCUUUUUUUUUUUUUUUUUUUUUUUUUUAGAUGUAGUUUCACUCUUUUGCCCAGGCUGGAUUGCAAUGGCACGAUCUCAGCUCGCUGCAACCUCUGCCUCCUGGGUUCAAGCAGUUCUCCUGCCUCAGCCUCCUGAGUAGCCAGGAUUACAGGUGACUGCCACCACGCCCAGCUAAUUUUUGUAUUUUUAGUAGAUACAGGUUUCACCAUGUUGGCCAGGCUGGUCUUGAACUCCUGACCUCAGGUGAUGCACCUGCCUCGGCCUCCAAAAUUGCUGGGAUUAUGGGCGUGAGCCAGUGCACCUGGCCUCGAGUCUGCUUUUAGUUUCCCUAUCUUAGUGCACCUGAAGGGAAAGGAAUAUGCUUAUUAAGUCCCACUGUUUUACUGAGGCCCGUUGUAUGAGGGUGAAGUCUGGCAGGUAGUAAAAUUUUCCAGGCUAGCCAUCAACUGCACCAUUAAAACUAAAACUGGAAAAGAUACAUGAUGUAUUUCAGGCUCCGGCAAUAUGCAGUGCACCAUGAGAUCGCUAAGAGACGGGGAGCUCACAGGACACAGAGAGAAGGUGGCUGUCUGCAAAUGAGGAACAAAGACUUCACUGAAAACUGAACCUCGAUCUUAGAUUUCUAGCCUCCAGAACUGUGUGAAAAUAAAUAUUUGUCAUUUAAGCCACCCAGCCUAUGAUACUUUUGUUAUGGCAGCCCAAGGUGGUGAAUACAAUGGGCAACUACAUUUAUUAAGACAUAUUAAACACUUUUUAAAUGUGUGUGAAUUUUAUUUUAUAUUAACUAUACUUCAAUAAAAUUGAUUAAAAGAUGCUCUAAGGACAGCACACUGUUAGCAAUGUGAUUGAAUGAGAA